UACGGAGGGGUCCAGCGUUAUUCAUCGUGAUUUGGCGUAAAGGGUACGUAGGCGGCUUUUUAAACGUUCUUAAAAAUACCAUAAAAAUUUUGUGGGUUUAAGGGUUGAAUGGGGGGGCUGGGAGUAAAGGAGAUGGUGGUGGUAGUUUUAAAGUAGAGGUGAUAUCCGAUGAUAUUAAAGCGACCCCCAACGGCGAAGGCAACCACCAACCCUUGCACUGACGCUGAGGUACGAAGGUGUGGGGAGCGAACGGG
This 254-nucleotide ribosomal RNA is filed under the name uncultured bacterium. RNAcentral describes it as "partial 16S ribosomal RNA". It matches the Rfam family "Bacterial small subunit ribosomal RNA", at positions 524 to 776 of the family's 1533-position model. The record is from RNAcentral.